Molecule: long non-coding RNA, 326 nt
Filed under: Homo sapiens (human)
Lineage: Eukaryota; Metazoa; Chordata; Mammalia; Primates; Hominidae
Description: long non-coding RNA NONHSAT214100.1
Source: RNAcentral
ACAACCAGGACAACUGGGGUCCCGGCAAGGAGACCACGUGUGGACAAACCUGUACGUUAUGCCCAGGAGCUCAACUCCGGCUGGUUUGUGCUGCAACAUCGCCGAGGACUCCACCCAACUUAUAAGCGGGACUUGCUCCAUCUGCUCCCUCUGGCCUCUCACUUGCCACUCUGGUUGCUGCCUGGGCCCCACCCGCCUGCCUUGGCUACUUCCAUUUCUGCUUGUGGACAGAGGGCAAUGCAUCCAGGAAACGUCCCAAUGUGGAAAUGCGGCUCUCACCGCCCCUGAUACAAACUAAACACAUUCUUUCCAGAAAGCCUCCCUUC